RNAcentral lists this ribosomal RNA (422 nucleotides) under uncultured Flavobacteriaceae bacterium. Its description in RNAcentral is "bacterial SSU rRNA". It matches the Rfam family "Bacterial small subunit ribosomal RNA", at positions 355 to 774 of the family's 1533-position model. Lineage: Bacteria; Pseudomonadati; Bacteroidota; Flavobacteriia; Flavobacteriales; Flavobacteriaceae. The record is from RNAcentral.
UGAGGAAUAUUGGACAAUGGGUGAGAGCCUGAUCCAGCCAUCCCGCGUGAAGGACGACUGCCCUAUGGGUUGUAAACUUCUUUUAUACAGGGAUAAACCUACCCUCGUGAGGGUAGCUGAAGGUACUGUAUGAAUAAGCACCGGCUAACUCCGUGCCAGCAGCCGCGGUAAUACGGAGGGUGCAAGCGUUAUCCGGAUUUAUUGGGUUUAAAGGGUCCGUAGGUGGAUUGGUAAGUCAGUGGUGAAAUCUUAUAGCUUAACUAUAAAACUGCCAUUGAUACUGCUAGUCUUGAGUAUAUUUGAAGUAGCUGGAAUAAGUAGUGUAGCGGUGAAAUGCAUAGAUAUUACUUAGAACACCAAUUGCGAAGGCAGGUUACUAAGAUAUAACUGACGCUGAUGGACGAAAGCGUGGGGAGCGAACA